UACGUAGGGUGCAAGCGUUGUCCGGAAUUAUUGGGCGUAAAGAGCUCGUAGGCGGUUUGUUGCGUCGGCUGUGAAAUCCCGAGGCUCAACCUCGGGUCUGCAGUCGAUACGAGCAAACUAGAGUGUUGCAGGGGAGACUGGAAUUUCCGGUGUAGCGGUGAAAUGCGUAGAUAUCGGAAGGAACAUCAGUGGCGAAAGCGACUUCCUGGACCAAUACUGACGCUCAUGAUGCGGAAAGCGUGGGGAGCAAACAGG
This 255-nucleotide ribosomal RNA is filed under the name uncultured bacterium. Its description in RNAcentral is "partial 16S ribosomal RNA". It matches the Rfam family "Bacterial small subunit ribosomal RNA", at positions 524 to 776 of the family's 1533-position model. The record is from RNAcentral.